RNAcentral lists this ribosomal RNA (407 nucleotides) under Verrucomicrobiota bacterium. RNAcentral describes it as "Verrucomicrobia bacterium partial 16S ribosomal RNA". It matches the Rfam family "Bacterial small subunit ribosomal RNA", at positions 355 to 776 of the family's 1533-position model. Lineage: Bacteria; Pseudomonadati; Verrucomicrobiota. The record is from RNAcentral.
UGGGGAAUAUUGGACAAUGGAGGAAACUCUGAUCCAGCAAUUCUGUGUGUGUGAAGAAGGUUUUAGGACUGUAAAACACUUUUAGUAGGGAAGAAAAAAAUGACGGUACCUACAGAAGAAGCAGCGGCUAAAUACGUGCCAGCAGCCGCGGUAAUACGUAUGUUGCGAGCGUUAUCCGGAAUUAUUGGGCUUAAAGGGCAUCUAGGCGGUAAGACAAGUUGAAGGUGAAAACCUGUGGCUCAACCAUAGGCUUGCCUACAAAACUGUUGAACUAGAGUACUGGAAAGGUGGGUGGAACUACACGAGUAGAGGUGAAAUUCGUAGAUAUGUGUAGGAAUGCCGAUGAUGAAGAUAACUCACUGGACAGAAACUGACGCUGAAGUGCGAAAGCUAGGGGAGCAAACAGG